This 447-nucleotide ribosomal RNA is filed under the name uncultured bacterium. Its description in RNAcentral is "bacterial SSU rRNA". It matches the Rfam family "Bacterial small subunit ribosomal RNA", at positions 330 to 794 of the family's 1533-position model. The record is from RNAcentral.
UCCAGACUCCUACGGGAGGCAGCAGUGGGGGAUAUUGCACAAUGGGGGAAACCCUGAUGCAGCGACGCCGCGUGAGCGAUGAAGUAUUUCGGUAUGUAAAGCUCUAUCAGCAGGGAAGAAAAUGACGGUACCUGACUAAGAAGCCCCGGCUAACUACGUGCCAGCAGCCGCGGUAAUACGUAGGGGGCAAGCGUUAUCCGGAUUUACUGGGUGUAAAGGGAGCGCAGACGGCUGUGCAAGUCUGGAGUGAAAGGCGGGGGCCCAACCCCCGGACUGCUCUGGAAACUGUAAAGCUGGAGUGCAGGAGAGGUAAGCGGAAUUCCUAGUGUAGCGGUGAAAUGCGUAGAUAUUAGGAGGAACACCAGUGGCGAAGGCGGCUUACUGGACUGCAACUGACGUUGAGGCUCGAAAGCGUGGGGAGCAAACAGGAUUAGAUACCCCCGUACA